Molecule: ribosomal RNA, 116 nt
Filed under: Flavobacterium taihuense
Lineage: Bacteria; Pseudomonadati; Bacteroidota; Flavobacteriia; Flavobacteriales; Flavobacteriaceae
Description: Flavobacterium sp. NAS39 partial 16S ribosomal RNA
Rfam family: Bacterial small subunit ribosomal RNA
Source: RNAcentral
ACGAUGAAGAGUUUGAUCCUGGCUCAGGAUGAACGCUAGCGGCAGGCUUAACACAUGCAAGUCGAGGGGUAUGGUUUUUCGGAACCAGAGACCGGCGCACGGGUGCGUAACGCGUA